CCCUGCUCAAACGAGCUUACAGACUAUAGGAGGUGGGGUAUUUGAAACAUUAGGACAUGGAAUAUCAAGUAGGAGUGAAGCAGAGCUGGAGGAGAGAGCAAAGCACUGUCCCAUAGGAGAGAGCAGGAGACAGGUAUGUAAGGUAGAGAUUACUCUGGGAGGCCAUAAGUUUCCUGAAGAGAUGGGUUUUAAGGCCCUUCUUAAAUGAUUGAAGACUAGGGGAGAGUCUGAUGGCAGUAGGCAAGCUAUUCCAUAGGAGAGGAGCCGCCCGCGAGAGGUCCUGCAAGCGUGAGUUGGCCGUACGGGUGCGAGCAGCGGUCAGGAGGUGGUCACGGGCAGAGCGGAGGGUACGAGGAGGGGCAUAUCUAUGGAUUAGUGAAGAGAUAUAAGUGGGGCUAGAAUUGUUCAGUGCUUUAAAUGUAUGGGUUAGCACUUUGAAUUGAC
Non-coding RNA from Pelobates cultripes (western spadefoot toad), 444 nucleotides. The record is from the annotation of a GenBank genome assembly. Lineage: Eukaryota; Metazoa; Chordata; Amphibia; Anura; Pelobatidae.